Molecule: ribosomal RNA, 503 nt
Filed under: uncultured marine eukaryote
Lineage: Eukaryota
Description: bacterial SSU rRNA
Rfam family: Eukaryotic small subunit ribosomal RNA
Source: RNAcentral
AACCUGGUUGAUCCUGCCAGUAGUCAUAUGCUUGUCUACAAAGAUUAUGCCAUGACAUGUACUAAGUAACAAACUUUUACCAACAGUGAAACUGCGAAUGGCUACAUUAGAUCAGUUAUGGUUCCUUAGAUCGUAACAAUCCUACUUGGAUAAACUGUGGUAAUUCUAGAGACUAAUAACAUGAAAGCACGACUACCGACCUUUAGGGGAAAGAGAGUUUUUUAAUUAACAAAAAAACCAAUCGGACCUUCGGGUCGUCCUAUUGGUGACUCUGAAUAAACUUUGUUCUGAUCGACAUGGCCUUGAGACCCAGACGACGUAUUCUUUAAAAUGUUCUGGCCCUAUAAAGUUCUCGAUGUUAGUUGACAUGACUAUCAUGCUUGUAACGGGUAAACGGGGAAUCAGGGUUCGAUUCCGGAGAGGGAGACAUGAGAAAACGGCUACCACAUUCCAAGGAAAGGCAGCAGGCGCGCCAAUAACCCCACUCCUGACACGGGGAGGUA